AACGCACAUUGCGCCCGCCAGUACUCUGGCGGGCAUGCCUGUCCGAGCGUCAUUUCAACCCUCGAGCCCGUCUCGGUGUUGGGGGCCCCACGGCCGCGAGGCCGCCCCCGAAAUGCAUUGGCGACCCCGCCGCGGCCUCCCCUGCGCAGUAGCUCCCAGAGAACCUCGCACCGGAAACGCGGAGGCGGUCACGCCGUAAAACAACUCUCCUCCUGGAAGUUGACCUCGGAUCAGGUAGGGAUACCCGCUGAACUUAA
RNAcentral lists this unclassified non-coding RNA (257 nucleotides) under Hirsutella sp. Its description in RNAcentral is "partial contains 5.8S ribosomal RNA, internal transcribed spacer 2, and large subunit ribosomal RNA". The stretch from base 1 to 52 matches the Rfam family "5.8S ribosomal RNA", at positions 103 to 154 of the family's 154-position model. The record is from RNAcentral. RNAcentral also lists the same sequence under 1 other name. Lineage: Eukaryota; Fungi; Ascomycota; Sordariomycetes; Hypocreales; Ophiocordycipitaceae.